ACCCCACCAUCCUCUGUUUGAUUCCAACCCAUGUCCCUGUAACUACUUUUAUUAAAGUCUUAUCUGAACCAUCCGGAAUGAAUUCCGUUUCCUGCUGGGACCCUGAUUGAUAUAGCAAUACAGGAGGCCAACAACCUGCCUGGGAGUUUUGAAGCAGGACAGGAAUCCAGACUCAACAUGCCAUCAUGGCUCAGAGGAAGCCAAAUGCAGGAUUACAUGAUAGGCCAGAAGCUGGGUCAUGGUCUGCCAGGCCAGAUAAGCCACUCCAGGGAAAGCAGCUGCUGUGUCGCCAGCACAUUCAGCAGCCUGUAGAGAGGCACCUGUGGCGGGAAGGGAGGCCUCUGGACAUCAGCCAGCGAGGGACCGAGGCCUGCCAACAACCACAUGAGCGAGCUUGGAAAUGGAUUAUCCAGCCCCAGUCAAGCCUUGAUGGGACUGCAGCUGCUGCCAACAGCUUGACUGCUACCUUGUGAGAGAUAGCGAGCCAGGGCCACCCAGCUAAGCUGCUCCCCGUUUUCUGCCCCUCAGAAACUGCGAGAGAUAAUAAGUGUUUGUUGUUUCAAGCUGUUAAAUUUGGGGGUAAUUUGUUACACAGCAAUAGAUAACUAAAACAACUUUGUACUACUAAACAUUAAAAAUUAUCUAGGAAAUUAUGUUUCUAUCUUUGUCCAAGCUGCUAAGAAGUACAAACUGAAUACGAUUCUUGAUUUCACUUGCCUGAAAUUGUUGGUUUUUCCUCUUCCCCAUUCCCUUUAUUUUUUAAUUCUCAUACUUCAUUUUAUAUCCACUGACUUUGGUUUUAUCCUAUUUACACAUUUAUUGCAAAGCUCUUAGAGACUUUUUUUUUUUAAAUCAGAUGAGAGACAAAACAACAAAGGAAAGACAGUAAACAUUAGAUAGGAUUCUAGCCACCAUCAGAGAGAUGAAAAAUCUCAGAGAGAAAAAAGAGCAAUACAGCACAGCCCGUUACUAGUGUUCAACUAACUAGCAAUUGCUCUUAGAAUUCAAAGAAAUGAUACACCAGAAAAAUUGUGGUUUUGGUCAAUUUCCCCUGAAGCAGACCUUG
Cebus imitator (Panamanian white-faced capuchin) is the source of this 1066-nucleotide long non-coding RNA. RefSeq lists it as uncharacterized. The record is from RefSeq and is a predicted model, not a curated record. Lineage: Eukaryota; Metazoa; Chordata; Mammalia; Primates; Cebidae. The transcript is spliced from 3 exons.